GCCGGGAAACAGCCACCGCGCCAGCGCAUGCGCCCUCCGAAGCCGACACAGCCAGCGUGUGCUACCUGGAGCCUAGCGGGAGUUGGCGGUAGCGUCCCACACUGAACCAGGAUGGAAGGGCACCUGCCACAAGAAGCGGCCCUGAGGGCGUCACGCCGUGCCCUGCCCUCGUGCCAGGGGCACUUCCUGUCCCGGGAAACUUGGAAGUAGAGGCUCUCCUUUGGGUAACCUCGUUUACCAGCCAGCCAGCCGGCUUCGUGGGGACAGGCCUCAGAGACGGGCCACAGAGUGUGGCCUCAGAGAAUGUUUAGGAGUUAGACAAGUGAACGAGGAUGUUCAGAGGUCAUGGAAGGAUGGAGACAGGAUGGUCGGCGAUGGGGCCGGAUGAUUUCAGUAUUUGCAUGCUACUCAGGAUGCUCUGCCUCAUGGCUUCUCACACAAACCUUUGCUUUCCCAAGGGUGAAUAUUUCCUAGAAGAUGCAGACUAAAUUCCAAACUAUUCCUGGCUCCAUAAAUCAUGACUGUGUAGAAGAACCCAUUUAAUUCUCCUAAUGGUGAGGAAUAUGUCACAUGGGAUAUCAGCAGUUCCAACCUCACCUGGAGUAAUCUGAGGAUCCCAGUGAACACUGAUAGCCAGGCAGAUGGACAGACCUUGGCCAGACCUUCCCCAUGCACUCUUAGUUGCUCUUCCCAGGCCUUAGGAUGGAACUUCCAUGAAGCCUGGACUCCCCAACUGCCUGACGCUGACUGCCUGGAAUGAUGAGGGCCUCUCUGCCUGUGUUAUCAUGGCCCUUACUGUGUUUCCUCCUGGGUUGAUUCAUCUUUAUGAGUGUCUGAUGACUAUGUGUGCACAUCUAGGCUCCCCAAGAAUCCUCAUCUCAGCUCUGCCACCUCCCAGGUAGGACUUAGACAACUAACUUAGGCUUGCCAACCUUCCAUUUCCUAGCCUGCAAAGUCAUGAUAAUAUUAGCCUCUCACACAGGGAUUGUGAGGGUGAAGUGGCUGAUGUAGUUAAAACACAAAGUCAAGUGAUUGGCAUACACAUAACCAACUUUAUUAUUAGUUGUCUCGGUGGUGGGUGGUCCGGGAUUUGGGAGUUUUAUGCCAUACCUUCUCUCCUGGGGAAGAACACGAACACAAGCACUAUGGGCAGGCCAGUGACCUCACCUUGGCUCAACCCAGGCUCUUCUGGCUUCACAGAUACCUAUCAGUGUGGUUUGGGCUACUUGGAAGUGGGGGAAAGAAGGAUGUUUGUUUUCUAUUUUUGUAGAAGCCAAAGGAGCUAUGGCUUUCCAGAUUUAAAUCAACAUGCCCCUGGUUCCAGUGGGGGUAAUUAGCCCUACUCAGCCAGCAGGCCUAGGGAGUUGCUCUCCUCAGAGUGGAUUCCUAGCUGUUAGCAGACCUCUAGGAUCUCUGCUGCCUUAGUGACAGAGGACACAGUACAGUAGACCCAGGAGACCUGGAAGUGUGGGUUAGCGGUGCCCCUACCUUGCAUUCAAACUCUCAGUUCCACUUCCUCUGAAAAGCAUACCCAGAAACAUGCCUGUUCUGUCCACAUCCAGCCCUGGCAUUCAGCCCAGGGACUCCUGCUGGCUGUGAGAUGGUGCUGGCCUCUGGUUGUCUGGACCUCUGAUUCAGUCUCCCAUUUUAAUUCACUGUUCAGGGGCUGUUUUCUUCCCCUUGACCUAGAGCAGGGGCUCCUCAACAGAAGGACUUUGUCUGACUUGUCCUAUCCCCUGCGCUGGGCUUCAGUGGGGCCUCAGGGGCUAAUGGUUGGGCUGGGUUCUCCAUAUAACUCUGAGCAUUUCCCUCACCUGAACUUCUAAGGGGUUCACCAGCCACCAGGCUUAAAAGCACCCCAGAGGGAUCUUUGGCUGUAGCACUUGUAUCACCACAUUUAGGUUAUUGAUGUAAUAAGUAACAGGGAAGGUGCUAAGACUGGGUCCAGACUUUCUCCUGGUGGAGGGGUCAUAGAUGAGCUGUCUACACUCACCUAGGAAAAUUCACUAGGCUUAUCUUUAUGACUAGUGAACAAACAAAUCUCUCAGUUUGUGCAAACCAGCUGUGUGGUGUGUCUGGUACCAUUCCUUCCUGGAUCCAGUUGCUUCCCAGCCUGGAACAGGAUGCACCUAGAGGCCCUGCAGAAAUUUCCCAGCCCCCUAAACUUCACUUGCCAAAGGUAUCUUCUUCCCACUUCACUGUGACAUGUGACACAUGGCAGUAAUUUUGGAGAAAGGACAGAUGGGAAAACAGUCAUUUCUCAUGCCACAACAGAACUGAUGGAUGGAUACACGUCCACUUUCUUCUUCAGCCUGUGCUCUCAAAUGCUUGUGAAAUACUAGAGGGAAAAGGGAAUCUGAAAAAUCCAUCCAGGUAGGGAAAGGCCCAGUCAGAGCCAGCUCACUACUGGAAUUUGAGGAGAUGCUUAGUCAUGGGAAGGCAAAUCUUGGGAGAAUGAAGAGAGGCACCUGGAUGCCAGCUGGGCCACAGGCAAGGCAACAUGCAGAUGAGCCCCGGGAAGGUAAAGAGGGGCAGAGUGCAGACUCUGGGGCUUCUCUGCUUCCCCACACACGGUCCACUUCACCCCAGGUGGCUACUUUUAGUGUGGCAACCUCCACAGGGAGGCUCAGGAUCCAAAGAUGAAGAUGCUGCCGAGGAUGAAGAAGAAGGCAAACUAUCGCAGGCUUCGGAUUAUUCCAGAGAGGCUGGGAGAGCUGGCUCCUAUCUACAGAGCCCCCUUGGCUCUGCACUCUUCUUUUUGUUGUGCUGCUGCUGCUGCUGCUGCUGCUGCUGCUGAGGCCUGUCUCCCCUCCCAAAGAGAGGCAACUCAGGAAUGUGGCUCCCUGUCCCCAGUCUUCCUCUGGGAUGGAGAAACAGCACUGAAGAGGAAGGAAAGAAGCCCAAGGAAACAGAGCGUUUCUCCACUGGCUGAGGCUUGUCAGCACUACUCACUACAUGAGGAAUAAGGCAGCUCCCAAGCAAGCCUCAGGCUGGUAUAAAGCUACAAACAAGAGACCUGCUCUUCGCCCUGCUCAGCAGCCCACCUAGGCUGGCCUGGACAAACUUGUUUGUAUACUAAGGUCUCCAGCUGGCUGUGGUAGAGUAGGAAAAGGGAACAAAGCUGGAAGGUAUAGAAUUUGCUUGGAGUAUUGUCUGCAUAAUUCCUUUCCUAUCGUAAUGUGCAAAUCUUUAUUUGCGUUAUGUGCAAAAAGCCAGUAAAAAAUCAUCAGAAAUGUUUACCACCA
Acinonyx jubatus (cheetah) is the source of this 3245-nucleotide long non-coding RNA. RefSeq lists it as uncharacterized. NCBI's taxonomy places the organism in Eukaryota, Metazoa, Chordata, Mammalia, Carnivora, Felidae. The transcript has 2 exons. The record is from RefSeq and is a predicted model, not a curated record.